AACGAACGCUGGCGGCAUGCCUAACACAUGCAAGUCGAACGAGACCUUCGGGUCUAGUGGCGCACGGGUGCGUAACGCGUGGGAACCUGCCCUUAGGUUCGGAAUAACUCCCCGAAAGGGGUGCUAAUACCGGAUAAUUUCUUCGGACCAAAGAUUUAUCGCCUUUGGAUGGGCCCGCGUUGGAUUAGCUAGUUGGUAGGGUAAAAGCCUACCAAGGCGACGAUCCAUAGCUGGUCUGAGAGGAUGAUCAGCCACACUGGGACUGAGACACGGCCCAGACUACUACGGGAGGCAGCAGUGGGGAAUAUUGGACAACGGGGGAAAGCAUGAUCCAGCAAUGCCGCGUGAGUGAUGAAGGCCUUAGAGUUGUAAAGCUCUUUUACCCGGGAUGAUAAUGACAGUACCGGGAGAAUAAGCACCGGCUAACUCCGUG
RNAcentral lists this ribosomal RNA (433 nucleotides) under uncultured bacterium. Its description in RNAcentral is "partial 16S ribosomal RNA". It matches the Rfam family "Bacterial small subunit ribosomal RNA", at positions 29 to 507 of the family's 1533-position model. The record is from RNAcentral.